This 442-nucleotide ribosomal RNA is filed under the name uncultured bacterium. Its description in RNAcentral is "partial 16S ribosomal RNA". It matches the Rfam family "Bacterial small subunit ribosomal RNA", at positions 338 to 795 of the family's 1533-position model. The record is from RNAcentral.
CCUACGGGAGGCAGCAGUAGGGAAUCUUUCACAAUGGGCGAAAGCCUGAUGGAGCAACGCCGCGUGCAGGAUGAAGGCCUUCGGGUUGUAAACUGCUUUUAUAAGCGAGAAAUAUGAUGGUAACUUAUGAAUAAGGCUCGGCUAACUACGUGCCAGCAGCCGCGGUCAUACGUAGGAUCCGAGCAUUAUCCGGAGUGACUGGGUGUAAAGAGUUGCGUAGGUGGCAUAAUAAGUAGCUAGUGAAAUCUGGUGGCUUAACCAUUCAGAUUAUUAUCUAAACUGUUAAGCUCGAGACCGUUAGGGGUAACUGGAAUUUCUAGUGUAGGAGUGAAAUCCGUAGAUAUUAGAAGGAACACCAAUAGCGUAGGCAGGUUGCUGGGACGGUUCUGACACUAAGGCACGAAAGCGUAGGGAGCAAACGGGAUUAGAUACCCCUGUAGUC